CAUCUACGCACGAAACUUGCCCCGAGAUGUGUUCUCCCUGACUCCUUGCGAGCCCUGAAGGAACGUUGAAGACGACGCCGUCGAUAGGCCCGGUGUGUAAACGCAGCGAUGCGCUGAGCUAACCGGUCCUAAUGAACCGUGAGGAUUAACCUUUCAACUCC
This 161-nucleotide ribosomal RNA is filed under the name Escherichia coli. RNAcentral's name for it is "partial 23S ribosomal RNA". It matches the Rfam family "Bacterial large subunit ribosomal RNA", at positions 2778 to 2925 of the family's 2925-position model. Lineage: Bacteria; Pseudomonadati; Pseudomonadota; Gammaproteobacteria; Enterobacterales; Enterobacteriaceae. The record is from RNAcentral.